CUACCAUGGCAGUCACGGGUAACGGAGAAUUAGGGUUCGAUUCCGGAGAGGGAGCCUGAGAAACGGCUACCACAUCUACGGAAGGCAGCAGGCGCGAAAAUUGCCCAAUCCUGACACGGGGAGGCAGUGACAAGAAAUAACAACUCUAGGUUUUCUUAGAAGUGUAAUGAGGAUAAUUUACAAACCUUACCGAAUGCAAUUGGAGGGCAAGUCUGGUGCCAGCAGCCGCGGUAAUUCCAGCUCCAAUAGCGUAUAUUAAAGUUGUUGCAGUUAAAAAGCUCGUAGUUGAAGUUCUGAUUGUUCGGGUUUCUAGACAUUAGUCGGAGAUACUGACAGUCAUCCGCUUGCAAACAUAUGUUCGAUCUUUACCGGUUGGCUAUGUGGGUAAGCAUUUUACCUUGAGAAAAACAGAGUGUUCCAGGCAGGUUUGUCCGGAAUGCAUUAGCAUGGAAUAAUAGAAUAUGACUGAAGUCUAUUUAUUGGUUACAGGCUUUAGUAAUGAUUAAUAGGAACAGUCGGGGGCAUUCGUACUCAGCAGUCAGAGGUGAAAUUCUAAGAUUUGCUGAAGACGAACUAAUGCGAAAGCAUUUGCCAAGGAUGUUUUCAUUAAUCAAGAACGAAAGUUAGGGGAUC
Molecule: ribosomal RNA, 633 nt
Filed under: uncultured eukaryote
Lineage: Eukaryota
Description: SSU rRNA
Rfam family: Eukaryotic small subunit ribosomal RNA
Source: RNAcentral